ACUCAAAUGAAUAGACGGGGGCCCGCACAAGCAGUGGAUUAUGUGGUUUAAUUCGAAGCAACGCGAAGAACCUUACCAGGUCUUGACAUCCCGCGAGUACCCUAGAGAUAGGGGAUGCCCUUCGGGGCGCGGAGACAGGUGGUGCAUGGUUGUCGUCAGCUCGUGUCGUGAGAUGUUGGGUUAAGUCCCGCAACGAGCGCAACCCUUACGAUUAGUUGCUACGCAAGAGCACUCUAAUGGGACUGCCGUUGACAAAACGGAGGAAGGUGGGGACGACGUCAAAUCAUCAUGCCCUUUAUGACCUGGGCUACACACGUAAUACAAUGGCGCCGAACAACGGGCAGCGAAGCCGCGAGGCGGAGCGAACCCCCAAAAGGCGUCUCAGUUCGGAUUGCAGGCUGCAACUCGCCUGUAUGAAGUCGGAAUUGCUAGUAAUCGCGGAUCAGCAUGCCGCGGUGAAUACGUUCCCGGGCCUUGUACACACCGCCCGU
Molecule: ribosomal RNA, 491 nt
Filed under: uncultured bacterium
Lineage: Bacteria
Description: bacterial SSU rRNA
Rfam family: Bacterial small subunit ribosomal RNA
Source: RNAcentral